RNAcentral lists this ribosomal RNA (253 nucleotides) under uncultured bacterium. RNAcentral describes it as "partial 16S ribosomal RNA". It matches the Rfam family "Bacterial small subunit ribosomal RNA", at positions 524 to 776 of the family's 1533-position model. The record is from RNAcentral.
UACGGGGGGGGCAAGCGUUGUUCGGAAUUACUGGGCGUAAAGGGCGCGUAGGCGGUUUGUUAAGUUGGAUGUGAAAACUCUGGGCUUAACCCAGAGCCUGCAUCCAAAACUGGCAGGCUAGAGUUUUGGAGGGGGAAGCGGAAUCCCUGGUGUAGCAGUGAAAUGCGUAGAUAUCAGGAGGAACACCGGUGGCGAAGGCGGCUUCCUGGACAAAAACUGACGCUGAGGCGCGAAAGCUAGGGGAGCAAACAGG